RNAcentral lists this ribosomal RNA (858 nucleotides) under uncultured Neocallimastigales. RNAcentral describes it as "partial large subunit ribosomal RNA". It matches the Rfam family "Eukaryotic large subunit ribosomal RNA", at positions 1 to 628 of the family's 3401-position model. The record is from RNAcentral. Lineage: Eukaryota; Fungi; Neocallimastigomycota; Neocallimastigomycetes; Neocallimastigales.
UACACGCUGUGACUAGCAUAUCAAUAAGCGGAGGAAAAGUCAACUACCUACGCUUAGGAUGUUGACACACGCGCGUGCUCGACUCUAUACAUGACUCUGUGCAUAUCAAUAAGCGGAGGAAAAGAAACUAACAAGGAUUCCCCUAGUAACGGCGAGUGAAGCGGGAAGAGCUCAAAUUUGAAAUCUUAAAGGGUUUCCCUUUACGAAUUGUAGUUUAAAGAAGUGUUUUCUGUUGAGGUUUUGGUAAAAGUUCUUUGGAAUAGGACAUCAUAGAGGGUGAGAAUCCCGUAUUUGACCUUUACUUUCAACUUUGUGAUACACUUUCAAAGAGUCGGAUUGUUUGGGAAUGCAGUCCAAAAUGGGUGGUAAAUUUCAUCUAAAGCUAAAUAUUGGCGAGAGACCGAUAGCGAACAAGUACCGUGAGGGAAAGAUGAAAAGAACUUUGAAAAGAGAGUUAAACAGUACGUGAAAUUGUCAAAAGGGAAGCGUUUGACACCAGUGUUGUUUUUCUGAAAAUCAAUUAAAGAACUGUUUAUGCUAAGCUGUUUAGACUUUAUCAGCUAACUGUUUAGUUUUGAGCCUUUCUUUAAUGCACUUUUCAGUUAACAAGUCAACAUCAAUUUCUUUUGCUGUAAAAAAGCUUGAGGAAGGUGGCUUGAGAUUCGUCUUAAGUGUUUAUAGCCUCUUGCCUAUGCAGUCGGAGAGAUUGAGGUCUGCAGCGUAGAUCCUUCGGGGCUAAAUGCAUUUGUGCUAAGUUAUAGCAUUUUAUAGACAACUUGUUGACUAUGAUUUGUCUUGUAGCUUACUCGCUUAUGUUAUUUUACCUACGCUUAGGAUGUUGAGUCGUAGAGCACGCAG